UGGAGAAUCCCGUGAACCAUCGAGUCUCUAAACGCAAGUUGCGCUUGAAGCCAUUAAGCCGAUGACGCACCUGCUUGGGCGUCACACGCCGUUGCCCCCCCGACACUUCCAUUGGAAGCGUCGGUGGGCGGACGAUGGCUUUCAGUGCGUCACCACGCGUGGUUGGCACAAAUGUUUAGUCCCCGGUGAUGAACGCCACGACAAUCGUUGGUUGUCAAACCUCGGUUGCUUGUUGUGCACUUUCACCGAGCUUUGGGCGGUUCACGAUGCUCACUGCUUUGCUUCGGUAGAGCCUUCAACGCGACCCCAGGUCAGGCAGGGUUACCCACUAAA
Molecule: ribosomal RNA, 333 nt
Filed under: Crataegus monogyna x Crataegus punctata
Lineage: Eukaryota; Viridiplantae; Streptophyta; Magnoliopsida; Rosales; Rosaceae
Description: eukaryotic LSU rRNA
Source: RNAcentral